This 498-nucleotide ribosomal RNA is filed under the name uncultured bacterium. Its description in RNAcentral is "partial 16S ribosomal RNA". It matches the Rfam family "Bacterial small subunit ribosomal RNA", at positions 30 to 523 of the family's 1533-position model. The record is from RNAcentral.
AUUGAACGCUGGCGGCAUGCCUUACACAUGCAAGUCGAACGGUAACAGGUCUUCGGAUGCUGACGAGUGGCGAACGGGUGAGUAAUACAUCGGAACGUGCCUAGUAGUGGGGGAUAACUACUCGAAAGAGUGGCUAAUACCGCAUGAGAUCUACGGAUGAAAGCAGGGGAUCGCAAGACCUUGUGCUACUAGAGCGGACGAUGGCAGAUUAGGUAGGUGGUGGGAUAAAAGCUUACCAAGCCGGCGAUCUGUAGCUUGUCGGAGAGGACGAUCAGCCACACUGGGACGGAGACACGGGCCAGACUCCUACGGGAGGGAGCAGUGGGGAAUUUUGGACAAUGGGCGCAAGCCUGAUCCAGCAAUGCCGCGUGCAGGAUGAAGGCCUUCGGGUUGUAAACUGCUUUUGUACGGAACGAAAAGCCCCGGGUUAAUACCCUGGGGUCAUGACGGUACCGUAAGAAUAAGCACCGGCUAACUACGUGCCAGCAGCCGCCGCGG